AUAACGGCGUCGAGCGGCGGACGGGUGAGUAAUGCCUAGGAAAUUGCCCUGAUGUGGGGGAUAACCAUUGGAAACGAUGGCUAAUACCGCAUGAUGCCUACGGGCCAAAGAGGGGGACCUUCGGGCCUCUCGCGUCAGGAUAUGCCUAGGUGGGAUUAGCUAGUUGGUGAGGUAAGGGCUCACCAAGGCGACGAUCCCUAGCUGGUCUGAGAGGAUGAUCAGCCACACUGGAACUGAGACACGGUCCAGACUCCUACGGGAGGCAGCAGUGGGGAAUAUUGCACAAUGGGCGCAAGCCUGAUGCAGCCAUGCCGCGUGUGUGAAGAAGGCCUUCGGGUUGUAAAGCACUUUCAGUCGUGAGGAAGGUAGUGUAGUUAAUAGCUGCAUUAUUUGACGUUAGCGACAGAAGAAGCACCGGCUAACUCCGUGCCAGCAGCCGCGGUAAUACGGAGGGUGCGAGCGUUAAUCGGAAUUACUGGGCGUAAAGCGCAUGCAGGUGGUUUGUUAAGUCAGAUGUGAAAGCCCGGGGCUCAACCUCGGAAUUGCAUUUGAAACUGGCAGACUAGAGUACUGUAGAGGGGGGUAGAAUUUCAGGUGUAGCGGUGAAAUGCGUAGAGAUCUGAAGGAAUACCGGUGGCGAAGGCGGCCCCCUGGACAGAUACUGACACUCAGAUGCGAAAGCGUGGGGAGCAAACAGGAUUAGAUACCCUGGUAGUCCACGCCGUAAACGAUGUCUACUUGGAGGUUGUGGCCUUGAGCCGUGGCUUUCGGAGCUAACGCGUUAAGUAGACCGCCUGGGGAGUACGGUCGCAAGAUUAAAACUCAAAUGAAUUGACGGGGGCCCGCACAAGCGGUGGAGCAUGUGGUUUAAUUCGAUGCAACGCGAAGAACCUUACCUACUCUUGACAUCCAGAGAACUUUCCAGAGAUGGAUUGGUGCCUUCGGGAACUCUGAGACAGGUGCUGCAUGGCUGUCGUCAGCUCGUGUUGUGAAAUGUUGGGUUAAGUCCCGCAACGAGCGCAACCCUUAUCCUUGUUUGCCAGCGAGUAAUGUCGGGAACUCCAGGGAGACUGCCGGUGAUAAACCGGAGGAAGGUGGGGACGACGUCAAGUCAUCAUGGCCCUUACGAGUAGGGCUACACAUAUGCUACAAUGGCGCAUACAGAGGGCGGCCAACUUGCGAAAGUGAGCGAAUCCCAAAAAGUGCGUCGUAGUCCGGAUUGGAGUCUGCAACUCGACUCCAUGAAGUCGGAAUCGCUAGUAA
Molecule: ribosomal RNA, 1263 nt
Filed under: Vibrio parahaemolyticus
Lineage: Bacteria; Pseudomonadati; Pseudomonadota; Gammaproteobacteria; Vibrionales; Vibrionaceae
Description: bacterial SSU rRNA
Rfam family: Bacterial small subunit ribosomal RNA
Source: RNAcentral